Molecule: ribosomal RNA, 406 nt
Filed under: uncultured bacterium
Lineage: Bacteria
Description: partial 16S ribosomal RNA
Rfam family: Bacterial small subunit ribosomal RNA
Source: RNAcentral
AUUGAACGCUGGCGGCAGGCCUAACACAUGCAAGUCGAACGCGUGGCGGACGUGCGAGCAAUGUCUGGGACACUGCCUGAUGGAGGGGGAUAACUACUGGAAACGGUAGCUAAUCCCGCCUACCAUCGGAUUGUCCCAGAGUCGAUUAGCUAGUAGGUGGGGUAAAGGCUCACCUAGGCGACGAUCCCUAGCUGGUCUGAGAGGAUGACCAGCCACACUGGAACUGAGACACGGUCCAGACUCCUACGGGAGGCAGCAGUGGGGAAUAUUGCACAAUGGGCGCAAGCCUGAUGCAGCCAUGCCGCGUGUAUGAAGAAGGCCUGCGGGUUGUAAAGUACUUUCAGCGGGGAGGCGUUACCCGCAGAAGAAGCACCGGCUAACUCCGUGCCAGCAGCCGCGGUAAUUC